Cryptomeria japonica (Japanese cedar) is the source of this 1249-nucleotide RNA transcript. RefSeq lists it as uncharacterized. NCBI's taxonomy places the organism in Eukaryota, Viridiplantae, Streptophyta, Pinopsida, Cupressales, Cupressaceae. The record is from RefSeq and is a predicted model, not a curated record. The transcript has 5 exons.
UUGCACUCAAUAUUUACUAAACAAUUCGUAACUAGACAAUUUUACCCAAGAAAUAGCCAUCAAUGAUGUCUUGUUUCAACUCUGGCAUUAUAUGGAAUCCCUCAAAAAAAUCACAUUGCAUAUAGUCCACUAAUGAAGAAGCCUUGAAGAGACGAUUGACACCAACGAGUGUGCCAAUGUAACACAGGCCAAGCGAUGUACUCCCAAACGUUUUCCUAUACCCCCUUCCGCCAUUGCAGUGUAGUGCCGCUGCCUCCAAAUUAUUAUUAUGCAAUUAAGCCUCCCGCACACAUUAAGAGCAGGGUGGCAUUUGAGAGGAGACCAGGUAGCUGGAGCAGCCUUAUCACAAAAAGUGGGCUGAAGCAUUUGUUUGAUGUUGGUGAAAGGGAAGGAGAUGAAGAGGGACCAAUUGAAUUGCCUCAGGAUUUCAACCCCUUUGAAGUUCCAGAGGCCACUCCUCUGCAAAUAACAGCCAGCUGUCUUCUUACAGGCUCCAUUGCUUUUCUGCUUUAUAGGUCCUUUAAAAGAAGGGCCAAAAGAGCUAAGGAGAAGAGAUUUCGCUCGUCAGGAGUUGAAGAUGUGAGAAAAGAAGCAAAACUGGAAGCUUUAAAGGCCUUGGAAAAGGCAAAUAGCUUGGCAGAGGAGUUGAAGCCAAAUGGUCCUCCUCCUUCAGCAGUUCAGGCCUUGGUUGGGGCGAUUAUGGCUGGAGCAAUUGCAUAUGUGCUUUAUAAUUUCACUAUUGCUGUAGAAUCAUCGCUAGACAAACAGUUUGUUUCAUCAAAUUACUCGAUUCGCCAAAUCAAAAUAACAACUAGGACAAUUAUUAAUGGUAUGUGUUAUCUGGCGACUUGUGUGUUUGCUGUUAAUUCAAUUGGAUUGACUCUGUACUCGGGUCAGCUAGCAUUGAAAUUUUGGAUGGAUAUAAUUCGUGGUGAAUCAGAUUCAAAGCCUGUCGAAACUGAAAAUAAAGUGAAUGUGGAAGCCAAAGAUGACAGUCUAUAAGUUCUAUCAGGCAGUCGUGAUUAUAGAUCCUAACGAAAUUCUUUUUGCGCUUUGUUUUCCUUUUAAUAUUCUGGAAGGUUUUUGGCUCAUGGGAUUUGGCAUAGGGCUUUGGAAAAUUUUGUCUUCUUCCAUUGAUAGCAGCUGUGGAGUCUACAUUUGAAAAUUAUUUGAUGUUUUUUUUUUUGCAAAUUGCCAUAUGGGCUCUAUGUAAAAUUGAUCUAUUAAAUACUAUAGGUUUAUUUUAUGA